CUUAGGUUGCAUUUUGUUACUUUUUAAAUAUUCUCAACAUUUACCAUGUCUUCCAUUCACUCUGCAGACUCCAGAUGAGCUCAGCUUUCCAAAAUCAGUUCUACCAACUCCUACCCUCCGGUACCAGGAUGAUCAGCAUAGCUGAAGGAUGUCACAAAAUUAUGAGGGACAUGGAUGAAUCUGGAGAACAUCAUCCUCAGCAAACUGACACAAGAACAGAAAAAAGCAUUUUUAUCAUUAUGUGAUCUAUGCUUAAAAAUAAUGUACACUGUAUGCACUUAAAUAUGUGCUAUACAUAAACACAGCUGCAUAUGUGUGUGUGUGUGUGUGUGUAAAUUUAUGCAUGUGUGUGUGUGUGAAGCCAAAGAAACCAAAUUAUACUAGGGGCAAAUAUUUGAUGUUUGCUUUCCACAUAGGAAGCAUUUGGCAAACAUUGCUUGACUAACUCACCCUCUCAAUGCUACUCUGAACAAAAUCUUUACCUGGAGC
RNAcentral lists this long non-coding RNA (489 nucleotides) under Callithrix jacchus (white-tufted-ear marmoset). Its description in RNAcentral is "lncRNA (ENSCJAG00000057788.2)". The record is from RNAcentral. Lineage: Eukaryota; Metazoa; Chordata; Mammalia; Primates; Cebidae.